GAGCUCUUGCAAACUGGUCGUUUGUAAACACCAAAGUGGGUGGAAGGAGGAGCAGGUCCUAAUCUUUGGACCUUAAUCCAGCUCGGCUCUUCCUGCUGACUUUGUGAAAAGGGAAUUAAUAAGAUUCCCCCGCUCCAAAAGUGUGUAGUUCAGGGCGCUCGAGUUUGGGGGUUCUUUUUGCAGUUUCGCCUCGGGGCGGCCAGGGAACCAUGAGCGCCCAGCAGUGCCGGAGAGUCUGGCUGCACCAAGUUGCUCGCAGCGGCCGAGGCCUUCUCUGGACUCCGCAGGUGGGACUCCGGCGCGUCCCUCCGCUCGCUUUCCCGAGUUGCUGGACGAGGCGCCCGCCUGCAGCCCGGCUCCUUCUCCCGCUCAGCCGCUCGUUGUCCUCGCGGCCAGCCGCUCCUGGAGGCGACUACGAGGCGGUUUUCAGGGCGUCGGUGGAGGAGCCUGAGAAACACUGGGCUGAAGCGGCUCAGGGCAUCGACUGGCACAAGCCCUGGGCUCAAACCAUGCAGAGGAGAGAUCCCUAUAGCACCUCCUGGUUUGUUGGGGGAGAGCUGAAUAUUUGUUAUAAUGCUAUAGAUCGCCAUGUCAAGAAUGGACAAGGGGACCAGAUUGCUAUCAUCCAUGACAGUCCUGUAACAAAUGCUAAAGAGUUUAUAACUUACAAAGAACUUCUUGAACAGGUUUCCAAGCUAGCUGGUGUCAUGAGGAGCCACGGUGUGAAGAAGGGAGACCGUGUUGUCAUCUACAUGCCAAUGAUUCCACAGACGAUGUACACAAUGCUGGCGUGUGCAAGAAUAGGAGCCAUACAUAGUCUCAUUUUCGGUGGAUUUGCUUCAAAAGAGCUUUCAAGUCGCAUUGAUCAUGCCAAGCCCAAACUGGUUGUAACGGCAACUUUUGGAAUAGAACCUGGAAGAAAAGUCGAAUACAUACCACUUUUAGAGAAAGCGUUGGAGAUGAUAGAGCACCAACCUGACAAAGUUCUGGUUUAUAGCCGCCCUAACAUGGGAGAUGUUGCUCUUAAACCAGGGCGUGACCUGGACUGGCAUGAAGAAAUGGCGAAAGCAAAGCCAUGUGACUGUGUCCCUGUCCUUUCGGACCAUCCACUUUAUAUUCUGUAUACAUCAGGAACAACUGGCACCCCCAAGGGUGUUGUUCGACCAACAGGUGGCUAUGCCGUUAUGUUAAACUGGACCAUGUCAGCUAUAUACGGCCUUAAAUCUAAAGAGGUUUGGUGGGCAGCCUCUGAUUUAGGCUGGGUGGUUGGCCAUUCUUAUAUCUGUUACGGACCUCUCUUGCACGGGAAUACAACGGUUUUAUAUGAGGGGAAGCCUGUGGGAACACCAGACGCUGGAGCUUUUUUCCGUGUGCUCGCAGAGCAUGGAGUCGUAGCCUUGUUUACUGCACCGACUGCAAUUAGAGCAAUCCGUCAACAGGACCCUGAGGCUAACUUGGGGAAACAGCACAGCCUGACAAGGUUCCGAACACUCUUUGUAGCUGGUGAACGCUGUGAUGUGGAUACGUUAGAAUGGUGCAAGAAAAUCUUCAAGGUUCCAGUUUUGGAUCAUUGGUGGCAAACUGAAACAGGAUCUCCAAUAACAGCUUCUUGUGUUGGCUUAGGAAACUCACUAACUCCUCCCUCAGGUCAGACAGGAAAACUGGUGCCUGGAUACAAUGUGAUGAUUCUGGAUGAUGGCAAGCAAGCUGUAAAAGCGAAGACUUUAGGAAAUAUUGUGGUGAAGCUGCCUUUGCCUCCAGGAGCCUUUCUGGGCCUUUGGAAAAAUGAGGAUCUGUACAAGGAAAUAUACUUCCAGAAAUUUCCAGGGUACUAUAAUACUAUGGAUGCGGGUUAUAUGGAUGAAGAGGGCUAUUUGUAUGUGAUGUCUCGAGUGGAUGACGUGAUCAAUGUUGCAGGGCAUAGGAUUUCUGCAGGCGCAAUUGAGGAGGCUGUGCUCUCCCAUAGCGCUGUGGCAGAUUGUGCAGUUGUCGGCCAGGAAGACUCCUUAAAGGGCCACAUCCCACUCGCUCUGUGCGUCCUAAGAAAUGGAGUAAACACUGAAGAGGAAAAGCUUUUGGAUGAAAUCGUAAAGAGAGUUAGAGAAAAUAUUGGCCCCGUGGCAGCCUUCCGGAAAGUAGUGUUUGUGAAACAGAUACCAAAGACACGUUCUGGCAAGAUACCGCGGUCAGCUCUUUCUUCCUUGGUAAACGGCAAGCCAUACAAGAUAACUCCAACCAUUGAGGACCCGGCUGUGUUUAAACAUGUAGAAGAAAUGCUGAAGACCAAGUUAAAAGUGAGCUCUGCACCUAUCUGGAUCCAGCUCAGUACUUCAAGUCCAGCAAGUGAUUAUCCUGAUCAACACAGAGAACAAGACUGGAAAUAGCAGGGCCUUGGGCACAGAAGGAAAAAAUGGCCCUCUGCAAAAGCUUACCUGUAGGUAAAACGAUGAUGAUGAUAAUCAAACAGAACAGAAGAAGCCCUUGGUGAUGGGGACCAGCUUGCUAUGAAAUUUGAAGCCAGGCCAGGUUGACUUAACAGCUUUAAGAUCUGCUUGGAACGCAGUCUCAAGUUCAUCCGUGGAAUUACAGACACUCUGAGACUAUACAAGAAAAUGUUUGAUGAGCUCAAGAGACAACAUCGGCAGCUGCCAAUCACCAUGUUCCUCACACAGAUACCAGCCGCUGCUGUCGUAGCAGAUGUGCUCGUGCAACACACCUCUGAAUCUGAACCACAGCCAAGCACUUCUCAGUCUUCAUAUAAUCAGAAGCAUCACCCAGUGAGGGAGGAGGAUGACUUCAUUCGUCCCUCACAGGUACUUGGCUACACCUCAGAGAACAAAGGCUUAUUAUGUGUAUGUCCUUCGAAUCCUGGGAUCCAGGUCUCUGCAGGACUGGCUCUUCAUGAAUUUGGAACAGCAGCAUAUGGAAAUCAUAUAUGGGAGUUAGUUCCUCUGAUAAGGUUGACUUCCGAGAAGUCUCAGCAAGGCCGUCUUGGAUAAACAUGUUAUUAGACAAUCAGCUGUCUAAUGCCUAUUAUAAUGAAGAAAUGGAGGGCAGCAUUUUUCUAUAUAACUGAAAACUUGAAGAUCAGGAUUUAUUUCCCCUUGAUGUUUGUUCUAUGCCAACGUUGGCCAGCAUCUGAAGAAUUUGGAAGGCAAAACCCUUGUCAGCACGAAUACGUGCGAACCGUCGAGCUGUCUAGUCUCUGCAACCGCGCUGACGCCACUGCAAAUUGAUAACCAAAACAACAAGAAGAAUCUUGGAAUUAGAGGAAGAGGGGAAAAACAAGGAUCCCACUCUGUAAGCUGCCUCAUAUGAGGGAGAUCAAGGAUAUGAAGCCCUCAAAUAUUCUACAGUACCUCUCCACAAUCAUGCAUUUCCUGGUACCAUGUGCUGCCUUCAACAUGGAAGUUCAAGAUUCAAUGUUGUAGUUAAAAGAGAUAUUUCAUUAAUAGGAAAACACCCAUGUAUGUACAACAUUCGUCAACUGAAUUAAACUCUUCUAAAACUGACAGGCUUUUUCUUAACAUUGUAGUCAUCAUAAGGAUAUGGUAACAUAUUGGUAUGGGCUGUGUACGCAAAGGGGACUGCAGAAUGAGAGAGGGGGAAGCCUGAAAAUGGGGGUGAUCUGUGUGAAGGGAAAGUUCAAAAACAAAAAGAGGAAGGG
RNA transcript from Podarcis raffonei (Aeolian wall lizard), 3667 nucleotides. It is a transcript of the gene named acyl-CoA synthetase short chain family member 3, with no coding region annotated. The record is from RefSeq and is a predicted model, not a curated record. NCBI's taxonomy places the organism in Eukaryota, Metazoa, Chordata, Lepidosauria, Squamata, Lacertidae. The transcript has 22 exons.